GUCUACGGCCCUUCCACCCUGAACGUGCCCGAUCUCCUCUGAUCUCAGAAGCUAAGCAGGGUGGGACCUGGUAAGCCCUUGGAUGGGAGACA
Molecule: ribosomal RNA, 92 nt
Filed under: Myotis lucifugus (little brown bat)
Lineage: Eukaryota; Metazoa; Chordata; Mammalia; Chiroptera; Vespertilionidae
Source: RNAcentral